Zingiber officinale is the source of this 171-nucleotide long non-coding RNA. RefSeq lists it as uncharacterized. The record is from RefSeq and is a predicted model, not a curated record. The transcript is spliced from 3 exons. NCBI's taxonomy places the organism in Eukaryota, Viridiplantae, Streptophyta, Magnoliopsida, Zingiberales, Zingiberaceae.
UUCCAUUUCUUGGAGUUGUGGAGGUCUCGGCUGAAGAGUUAGGGAUAUGUUGAGCUUCUUGGCCGUGAGUUGUAGGGUUGCUGAGCUAUUGGAAUUGCUGUCAUACUUCAAGGAUUUUAUUUCGAGGCGAGCGUCUCGACGUGGGAUUGGAUUGUCUGACGCGGUCGACAG